AGCGGCAGAUGGGUGAGUAACACGUGGGGAACCUGACCCUAAGUCUGGGAUACCAUUUGGAAACAGGUGCUAAUACCGGAUAAUAAAGCAGAUCGCAUGAUCAGCUUUUGAAAGGCGGCGUAAGCUGUCGCUAAGGGAUGGCCCCGCGGUGCAUUAGCUAGUUGGUAAGGUAACGGCUUACCAAGGCGACGAUGCAUAGCCGAGUUGAGAGACUGAUCGGCCACAUUGGGACUGAGACACGGCACAAACUCCUAUGGGAGGCAGCAGUAGGGAAUCUUCCACAAUGGACGCAAGUCUGAUGGAGCAACGCCGCGUGAGUGAAGAAGGUUUUCGGAUCGUAAAGCUCUGUUGUUGGUGAAGAAGGAUAGAGGUAGUAACUGGCCUUUAUUUGACGAUAAUCAACCAGAAAGUCACGGCUAACUACGUGCCAGCAGCCGCGGUUAUACGUAGGUGGCAAGCGUUGUCCGGAUUUAUUGGGCGUAAAGCGAGCGCAGGCGGAAAAAUAAGUCUAAUGUGAAAGCCCUCGGCUUAACCGAGGAACUGCAUCGGAAACUGUUUUUCUUGAGUGCAGAAGAGGAGAGUGGAACUCCAUGUGUAGCGGUGGAAUGCGUAGAUAUAUGGAAGAACACCAGUGGCGAAGGCGGCUCUCUGGUCUGCAACUGACGCUGAGGCUCGAAAGCAUGGGUAGCGAACAGGAUUAGAUACCCUGGUAGUCCAUGCCGUAAACGAUGAGUGCUAAGUGU
This 743-nucleotide ribosomal RNA is filed under the name uncultured bacterium. Its description in RNAcentral is "bacterial SSU rRNA". It matches the Rfam family "Bacterial small subunit ribosomal RNA", at positions 94 to 823 of the family's 1533-position model. The record is from RNAcentral.